UGUUAUAUGAUGACAACCUUCUCAGCUCACUCAGAUUUUAAAUGAUCGAUAACUUAUCCUAUCCAACAUUCAUCAAAUAGCCUGACUAAACA
Molecule: small nucleolar RNA, 92 nt
Filed under: Naumovozyma dairenensis CBS 421
Lineage: Eukaryota; Fungi; Ascomycota; Saccharomycetes; Saccharomycetales; Saccharomycetaceae
Source: RNAcentral